UAUUAAAACCUUAAAAACAGAAAAAUAGCUAACAAAGACAAAAGAAAAUAAAAGAAAGAAACAAUAAAAGAAAAUAUAAAAUAACAAAGGAAACAGGAACAGAAAUAAAAGAAAAGACAAUGAAACCGACACACCUGGCAUUCGAAGUGGUGACCUGCUGACAAGAAAGAAACAGAGGCGCUGGAAAAUAUUGGGAAAAGAAGCAAAAUUUCAGUGCUCUGGAGAGUUGAACCCGUGACAGCAAACAUGAACUAGAGGCCCAUUUCCUCAUCUCUCCUAACUGGCGCCGUACCCACGAGCCCAGAGCUGUGAAAGCUAUCUCCUUCAUUUCCUCUUUCCCUUCAUUUCUCAUGGAACUGAAACCCUAGCUUCCAUCAUCAACCCAGAACGUCAAAACAUGAAUCCAUCUCCAUCUCUGUCAAAAACGGAACCCAGCCAUGGCGAUCUUUGAUUCUAGCCCAGAUUGUCACCAUCGUGCAUUCCUCUGCGAAACCCGAGACUUGGGGAUCCGAGUAAGGCCAGGGGGCAUAGGAACUGCAAGGAGCAAUGGCUCACAAAUGAAGGUGCUGUACACACAGCAAAGAUGGCUGCAAGAACUCGGAUCUACAAAAUGAAAGGUAAAUCAAAUCCCUCCACUGCGUUAAAAUUAAGCAUGGUUUAAUAUCUCUGAAAGUCAUACAGAUUUGUGAAAUGUUUCUGUCAUGCAUUUAUUGACCUAAAAUUUCGUCAAUGCUCAUGUAAUUUUCUGUGUGCUUGCAUGCCUCCAUGUGACAAAUAUUGAGACAAAAACUGUGCAUGACACUGGAUCUGUGACAUGGCUUUGAUGAAUGUCCACCUCUGUGUUGCCUGGACCAACAAUAUUUUAAUGAAAUAUGAGAGUGAGCGAGCGAAAGAUAAAUAUUGAUGAAUGCUCAGAUAAAUGUUGAUGAAUGGAUGACUGAUGAAUGCAUAUUUUUGUAUCUUUAUUGUUUCGUUUAUAGAAGAGUAAGGUUUAUGUC
Molecule: long non-coding RNA, 998 nt
Organism: Pyrus x bretschneideri (Chinese white pear)
Lineage: Eukaryota; Viridiplantae; Streptophyta; Magnoliopsida; Rosales; Rosaceae
Exons: 2
Source: RefSeq, a predicted model, not a curated record